Long non-coding RNA from Sinocyclocheilus anshuiensis, 707 nucleotides. RefSeq lists it as uncharacterized. The transcript has 3 exons. NCBI's taxonomy places the organism in Eukaryota, Metazoa, Chordata, Actinopteri, Cypriniformes, Cyprinidae. The record is from RefSeq and is a predicted model, not a curated record.
UUUCCGCUCAUUGGAUGGAGGCUCAUUCGAACACAUUCUUUCACACACAUACACGUUACCCAUUUUGGAGGUUGAGGUUUGUGUGUUUGUGUGCACGAAAGAGCAGAGGAAAUGAAAGUGUGAAAUAUUAAAGCUGUGUAAGGAGUAGUUUCAGUCAGUGUCUGUCUGCACAGUCGUCAUGAGGUCGCUCGUUUGUCUUCCUUUCUGCCUGGUGCUGUUUCUGUUCUGUCUCAUUGCAGAAACAAAUCAACGUCCUUCAGCCUGCUGUUUGCAGACGAGCAAAAACAGAAUACCCAUAAACAGAGUGUUGAGUUAUACAGUCCAGAAAGCAGGAGUUUGCCCUAUCAACGCAAUUGUCUUGUUGACUGUAGGACGGAAAAUUCGGUGUUUUGAUCCAGACUCAGAGUGGAUCAAAGAUAUUAUGAGAAUGGUGGACCAGAAAACACGGACAAAACAAAACUCUGAUCCAAAAGCCUAGCCGAGCCAAAAUGCCAAAAGACAGAAUAAAAUAACAGAGGAAAGAUAGGCCUACGCAGACAGAAGAAUCAAAAUAAAAUUUUAUACGAUUUUUGUUUAUGUUUGUAGUGCGUUGUUUGACCUGUGCCAACUGACAUAAACCUUAAUUGAUGUCAAAAUAAGUAUGACUGUUUUAUGCUUACAUCUCUUUUGAAAUAAAUUUAUUCUGCUUCACUGAUUUUAUAAUCUCU